GCACAGGGCCAAAGACAGCAGGUCUCCUAAGUGUCUGCUUUACUGCAACAGCACUUGUGACACACACACCGCGUACUCAGUGUGUGCUGAGAUGAGGGAUGCACUGCAGCCGAGGGGCAAACGUCCAGCCCAGGAUGACUCCAUGACUGGCCCCACCAGGGCCCGCCCUGAACCCUGAGUAGAUCGACCAGCCCAACCGGCUUACUGAUGCUGCCAACUCACUGUGUGUAAGAGACCGAAGAGCAUCUCAUUCAACCGUGCACCUACCUGCCGAGGAAUUUCACUCUCUUGUAAGGUCCUUGAAAACAGAAGCUGUGGAUCAUUCAUCCUUAUAGCCCUGGCAUUCAGCAUACAG
This is a long non-coding RNA of Eubalaena glacialis (North Atlantic right whale), 355 nucleotides long. RefSeq lists it as uncharacterized. Lineage: Eukaryota; Metazoa; Chordata; Mammalia; Artiodactyla; Balaenidae. The transcript is spliced from 3 exons. The record is from RefSeq and is a predicted model, not a curated record.